UAGCCUAGUGGUUGAGGCUUUGGAUCGCCAAUCCGGAGACGGCGGGUUCGAUUCCCGU
Molecule: non-coding RNA, 58 nt
Organism: Aedes albopictus (Asian tiger mosquito)
Lineage: Eukaryota; Metazoa; Arthropoda; Insecta; Diptera; Culicidae
Source: Rfam